Molecule: ribosomal RNA, 497 nt
Filed under: uncultured bacterium
Lineage: Bacteria
Description: partial 16S ribosomal RNA
Rfam family: Bacterial small subunit ribosomal RNA
Source: RNAcentral
GAUGAACGCUGGCGGCGUGCCUAAUACAUGCAAGUCGAGCGGACGGACGAGAUUCUUGCUUCUCUGAUGUUAGCGGCGGACGGGUGAGUAAUACGUGGCUAACCUAUCUAUAAGACUGGGAUAACUUCGGGAAACCGGAGCUCAUACUGGAAAAUACUUUGAACCGCAGGGUUCAAAAGAGAAACACGGUCUGGCUGUCACUUCUAGCUGUAUCCGCGUUGCAUUAGCUAGUUGGUUAGGUAACGGCUUACCACGGCAACGAUGCAUAGCCGACCUGAGAGGGUGAUCGGCCACACUGGAGCUGAGACACGGUCCAGAGUCUGACGGGAGGCAGAAGUAGGGAAUCUUCCGCGAUGGGCGAAAGCCUGACGGAGCAACGCCGCGCGAGUGAUGAAGGUCUUCGGAUCGUAAAACUCUGUUAUGAGGGAAGAACAUAUGUGUAAGUAACUGUGCACAUCUUGACGGUAGCUAGUCAGAAAGCCACGGCUAACUACGUG